AGACCCGAAACCCGGUGAUCUAGCCAUGGGCAGGUUGAAGGUUGGGUAACACUAACUGGAGGACCGAACCGACUAAUGUUGAAAAAUUAGCGGAUGACCUGUGGCUGGGGGUGAAAGGCCAAUCAAACCGGGAGAUAGCUGGUUCUCCCCGAAAGCUAUUUAGGUAGCGCCUCGUGAAUUCAUCUCCGGGGGUAGAGCACUGUUUCGGCUAGGGGGCCAUCCCGGCUUACCAACCCGAUGCAAACUGCGAAUACCGGAGAAUGUUAUCACGGGAGACACACGGCGGGUGCUAACGUCCGUCGUGAAGAGGGAAACAACCCAGACCGCCAGCUAAGGUCCCAAAGUCAUGGUUAAGUGGGAAACGAUGUGGGAAGGCCCAGACAGCCAGGAUGUUGGCUUAGAAGCAGCCAUCAUUUAAAGAAAGCGUAAUAGCUCACUGGUCGAGUCGGCCUGCGCGGAAGAUGUAACGGGGCUAAACCAUGCACCGAAGCUGCGGCAGCGACGCUGAUGCGUUGUUGGGUAGGGGAGCGUUCUGUAAGCCUGCGAAGGUGGCCUGUGAGGGUUGCUGGAGGUAUCAG
This 578-nucleotide ribosomal RNA is filed under the name Salmonella enterica. Its description in RNAcentral is "partial 23S ribosomal RNA". It matches the Rfam family "Bacterial large subunit ribosomal RNA", at positions 711 to 1285 of the family's 2925-position model. The record is from RNAcentral. Lineage: Bacteria; Pseudomonadati; Pseudomonadota; Gammaproteobacteria; Enterobacterales; Enterobacteriaceae.